Molecule: unclassified non-coding RNA, 1534 nt
Filed under: Amphibalanus amphitrite
Lineage: Eukaryota; Metazoa; Arthropoda; Thecostraca; Balanomorpha; Balanidae
Description: uncharacterized LOC122387190, transcript variant X2
Source: RNAcentral
CGGGGGGCGGGUCGGUACCAGCUGAGCGGCCGCAGGGCCGGUGGCGGUCUCAGUCGCCCGCCGGUCGCCGUCAGAACGACAGCGAACCCCAGCCACCUCGGACACCAUGGCCCGACCUCAGCUGCGCUCCAAGCCGGCGGCGCAGGGCACGCCGCUGCAGCCGGUCCGGUGGCGGCCCCGGGAGCCGCUGCCGCUGCCCCGUCGGCUCCGACUGCCUGGCUCGUCGGUACUCGGCGUCUGCCGGAUGGUCGACAGCCUGGCUACGGGCUUCUGCUAGAGAGGAGGCAGUCUCGCCACAUGCUCCUGCUAGAUGACUGUAGUCUCACCAAGUCUUCUAGACGGUGCCAGCCGUCACCGGCGUCUACUAGAGGACUAGUCUAUCAAAAGUCUGCUAGACGGCGGCAGUAUCGUCAGAGUUUCUCGUAGCGCCUGUCUCAGCCGCCUUCGGUGAGAGGGUGACAGUCAGGCUGCCCGGGGGAUGCUGUGGUGUGGGCGACGGCCGAAAAAUGACGGCGUUUCUUCAAGACUCCUCGUCAGGUUAAUCAGUGUGAACAGGGUCUGUCAUGUAAGGUAAUGAACGGAGGACGAAAUCCGGAACCGAAUUCAACCAGCCGCUCCAAGAUUGUUUACGACUCUGGCACUCAAACAGCCAUCCGCAAUGUUUGCUAUCAUUUAAAAUAUGGCCCACUCUGCUUUUACUUUACGGAGACAUGGAUACGGGCCGCUGUAUUAUCGCUAUAACAUCGGUGCCCCCUAACCAUUCCUAUCUGACCUGGCCGGAUCCAUCAAUUUGUGCUAACUUUAUCCUUAAGAGGUCACGAGGGCUUGUGUUCUGAGGUGAGGACGUCCAGAGGUUCGGCGAUGGAACCGGCCACGGCAACUGCCGACGAUCUUUAGUGGCUACGGAGUCUAGCAGGUAUGAGAAAUCACACAUAUGAUGAAUGAUAAACAGGGUGCUGAUAUAUAUUGAACGAAUUAUCAUGCCGGUGAGGUGAUUCUCCAGCAAUAGCAACUGAUUCAGGUGUGCCAGUGCCAUUACGUUUGUGGUGAAUGUAAUUAUACAUGAGCGGUGUAUGUUGUGUGCACUAAUCACUAGUCAGAAGUACCUAGUGACAAUACGAUACUAUACGAAUGUGCGUCAACCCACGCGGUCGAUGCCUACUCAUGCCGUUUAUGGUGGUUAUCAUUGGCAUGUGUCACUUAACAUUAAAGUUAAGUGGUUUAUGUAUCGAAGGUAAUACACAAUGUCAUAAGCACAGUUUACAGAUGUGUGCCGAAAUCUAUAUCAACUUGCUUUCAUGUUCUGGUGCAUUGCAAACAGUUGUGUUAUCGUACUUAAGAAUUAUUGCCCACUUGUGAUGUAAUUCAUCCUGUUUUCAUGAACCAUACGCUCAGUAUGUAUGAUUGUGACGUAAACCCACUUCGUUUUCACAUGCGAGUAGGUUUGCGACGUAGUUUUGACUUGUUCACAUCCUUUUGUGUUAUGUUCCGUCACUUGAAACACCUUUAAUGUCAAUACACAUUUCAUGACUAA